GGGAAUGUGGCUUAGUGGUAGAGUGCUUGCCUGGUAGGUAUGAAGCCCUGGGUUCGAUUCCUUAGUCCCA
This is a non-coding RNA of Dipodomys ordii (Ord's kangaroo rat), 70 nucleotides long. NCBI's taxonomy places the organism in Eukaryota, Metazoa, Chordata, Mammalia, Rodentia, Heteromyidae. The record is from Rfam.